RNAcentral lists this long non-coding RNA (318 nucleotides) under Salvia miltiorrhiza (redroot sage). RNAcentral's name for it is "long non-coding RNA (SMIL_LNC009764)". Lineage: Eukaryota; Viridiplantae; Streptophyta; Magnoliopsida; Lamiales; Lamiaceae. The record is from RNAcentral.
GGCGCCGCUCCCUGCCACCUCCACCACCGCCACCUCCCCUUCCCCCACCCUGUUGCCCGUCUGUUGAGGUUUGAGGGAGAGACGAUGGCGGCGGCUUCGCCGCUGCUGUCGCCGAAAUUUCAGAGAGGGGAGGUCGACGAGAUUUGGGGAGGGGGAGGAGAAGGCGGCCGGCGGAGAGGGAGUUGUGCUGGUGUGGAGGGAGAGAGGCGGAGGCGGAGGUGCCUCUGUUGACUGUUGCCCGUCUGUUGAGGUUUGAGGGAGAGACGAUGGCGGCGGCUUCGCCGCUGCUGUCGCCGAAAUUUCAGAGAGGGGGUCGAC